This 253-nucleotide ribosomal RNA is filed under the name uncultured bacterium. RNAcentral describes it as "partial 16S ribosomal RNA". It matches the Rfam family "Bacterial small subunit ribosomal RNA", at positions 524 to 776 of the family's 1533-position model. The record is from RNAcentral.
UACAGAGGGUGCGAGCGUUAAUCGGAAUUACUGGGCGUAAAGCGUGCGUAGGCGGUUAUGUAAGUCAGGUGUGAAAGCCCCGGGCUCAACCUGGGAAUUGCAUUUGAGACUGCAUAGCUAGGGUGCGGAAGAGGGAAGCGGAAUUUCCGGUGUAGCGGUGAAAUGCGUAGAUAUCGGAAGGAACAUCAGUGGCGAAAGCGGCUUCCUGGUCCAGCACUGACGUUCAGGCACGAAAGCGUGGGGAGCAAACAGG